RNAcentral lists this microRNA (25 nucleotides) under Gadus morhua (Atlantic cod). Its description in RNAcentral is "gmo-miR-11222-5p". The record is from miRBase by way of RNAcentral. Lineage: Eukaryota; Metazoa; Chordata; Actinopteri; Gadiformes; Gadidae.
UUUAGCAGCCUCACCUGGUGUCCGA